This 1546-nucleotide ribosomal RNA is filed under the name Serratia liquefaciens. RNAcentral's name for it is "partial 23S ribosomal RNA". It matches the Rfam family "Bacterial large subunit ribosomal RNA", at positions 1281 to 2807 of the family's 2925-position model. Lineage: Bacteria; Pseudomonadati; Pseudomonadota; Gammaproteobacteria; Enterobacterales; Yersiniaceae. The record is from RNAcentral.
AUCAGAAGUGCGAAUGCUGACAUAAGUAACGAUAAAGCGGGUGAAAAGCCCGCUCGCCGGAAGACCAAGGGUUCCUGUCCAACGUUAAUCGGGGCAGGGUGAGUCGACCCCUAAGGCGAGGCCGAAAGGCGUAGUCGAUGGGAAACAGGUUAAUAUUCCUGUACUCGGUGUUACUGCGAAGGGGGGACGGAGAAGGCUAGGCUAGCCGGGCGACGGUUGUCCCGGUUUAAGCGUGUAGGGGGAGUGACCUGGUAAAUCCGGUUACUUGUUAACCCUGAGGCGUGAUGACGAUGCACUACGGUGCAGAAGUAGUUGAUGCCAAGCUUCCAGGAAAAGCCUCUAAGCAUCAGGUAACACAGAAUCGUACCCCAAACCGACACAGGUGGUCAGGUAGAGAAUACCAAGGCGCUUGAGAGAACUCGGGUGAAGGAACUAGGCAAAAUGGUGCCGUAACUUCGGGAGAAGGCACGCUGGCGCGUAGGUGAAGAGACUUGCUCUCGGAGCUGAAGCCAGUCGCAGAUACCAGCUGGCUGCAACUGUUUAAUAAAAACACAGCACUGUGCAAACACGAAAGUGGACGUAUACGGUGUGACGCCUGCCCGGUGCUGGAAGGUUAAUUGAUGGGGUCAGCCGCAAGGCGAAGCUCUUGAUCGAAGCCCCAGUAAACGGCGGCCGUAACUAUAACGGUCCUAAGGUAGCGAAAUUCCUUGUCGGGUAAGUUCCGACCUGCACGAAUGGCGUAAUGAUGGCCAGGCUGUCUCCACCCGAGACUCAGUGAAAUUGAACUCGCUGUGAAGAUGCAGUGUACCCGCGGCAAGACGGAAAGACCCCGUGAACCUUUACUAUAGCUUGACACUGAACAUUGAGCCUUGAUGUGUAGGAUAGGUGGGAGGCUUUGAAGCGUGGACGCCAGUCUGCGUGGAGCCAACCUUGAAAUACCACCCUUUAAUGUUUGAUGUUCUAACUCGGCCCCGUAAUCCGGGGUGAGGACAGUGUCUGGUGGGUAGUUUGACUGGGGCGGUCUCCUCCCAAAGAGUAACGGAGGAGCACGAAGGUUAGCUAAUCACGGUCGGACAUCGUGAGGUUAGUGCAAAGGCAUAAGCUAGCUUGACUGCGAGAGUGACGGCUCGAGCAGGUACGAAAGUAGGUCUUAGUGAUCCGGUGGUUCUGAAUGGAAGGGCCAUCGCUCAACGGAUAAAAGGUACUCCGGGGAUAACAGGCUGAUACCGCCCAAGAGUUCAUAUCGACGGCGGUGUUUGGCACCUCGAUGUCGGCUCAUCACAUCCUGGGGCUGAAGUAGGUCCCAAGGGUAUGGCUGUUCGCCAUUUAAAGUGGUACGCGAGCUGGGUUUAGAACGUCGUGAGACAGUUCGGUCCCUAUCUGCCGUGGGCGUUGGAAGAUUGAGAGGGGUUGCUCCUAGUACGAGAGGACCGGAGUGAACGCACCACUGGUGUUCGGGUUGUCAUGCCAAUGGCACUGCCCGGUAGCUAAGUGCGGAAAAGAUAAGCGCUGAAAGCAUCUAAGCGCGAAACUUGCCUCGAGAUGA